CUUGAUCAUGGCUCGCAUUGAACGCUGGCGGGGAUGCUUUACAUGCAAGUCGAACGGCAGCACGACUUCUGGUCUGGUGGCGAGUGGCGAACGGGUGAGUAAUGUAUCGGAACGUGCCUAUAGCGGGGAUGACCACAAGGAAGCGGCCAAUACCGCAUAUCGCCCUUCGGGGGAAAGCGGGGGACCUUCGGGCCUCGCACUAUUAGAUGGUCGAUAUCGAUUAAUAGUUGUGGGUAACGGCUCACCAAGGCGACGAUCCAGCUGGUUUGAGAGGACGACCAGCCACACUGGGACUUCGAGACAUGGCCCAGACUCCUACGGGAGGCAGCAGUGGGGAAUUUUGGACAAAUGGGGAAACCUUAUCCAGCCAUCCCGCGUGUGCGAUGAAGGCCUCGUUGUAAAGCACUUUUGGCAGGAAAGAAACGGCACGGGAUAAUACCCCGUGCAACUGACGAAAUUGCAGAAUAAAGCGCCGGCUAACACCGCGCUGGCAGCCAUGGCAUGUAGGGUGCAAGCGUUAAUCGGAAUUAUUGGGCGUAAAGCGUGCGCAGGCGGUUCGGAAAGAAAGAUAAAGAAAUCCCAGAGCUUAACUUCUGGAAACUGCAUUUUUAACUACCGAGCUAGAGUAGCCAGAGGGGAGGUGGAAUUCCGGCGUAGCAGUGAAAUGCGUAGAUAUGCGGAGGAACACCGAUGGCGAAGGCAGCCCCCCUGGGAUAACACUGACGCUCAUGCACGAAAGUGGAGCAAACAGGAUGAUACCUCCUAGUCUGCCUAAACGAUGUUUCAACUAGCUGUUGGGGCCUCUUCGGGCUCGGUAGCGCAGCUAAUGAAGUUGACCGCCUGGGGAGUACGGUCGCAAGAUUAAAACUCAAAGGAAUUGACGGGGACUCCGCACGCGGUGGAUGAUGUGGAUUAAUUCGAUGCAACGCGAAAACCUUACCUACCCUUGAUUAUGUCUGAAUCCCGAAGAGAUUGGAGUGCUCGCAAAGAGAACCGGAACACAUGGGAUGGCUGUCGUCAGCUCGUGUCGUGAGAUGUUGUUAAGUCCCCACCGAGCUACGAAACUGGCUUAUUGAAGUUGAGCAUGAAAGGGCACUCUAAUGAGACUGCCGGUGACAAACCGGAGGAAGGUGGGGAUGACGUCAAGUCCUCAUGGCCCUUAUGCAGGGCUUCACACGCCGCACAAUGGUCGGGACAGAGGGUCGCCAACCCGCGAGGGGGAGCCAAUCCCAGAACCCGAUCGUAGUCCGGAUCGUAGUCUGCACCCGACUGCGUGAAGUCGGAAUCGCUAGUAAUCGCGGAUCAGCAUGUCGCGGUGAAUAUGUUCCUGGAAGUCGUACAUACCGCCCGUCACACCAUGGGAGUGGGUUUUACCAGAAGUAGUUAGCCUUAACCAGACAGGAGGGCGAUUACCACGGUAGAUUCACAGGACUGGGGUGAAAGUCGUAACAAGGU
RNAcentral lists this ribosomal RNA (1455 nucleotides) under uncultured Bordetella sp. Its description in RNAcentral is "partial 16S-23S ribosomal RNA intergenic spacer". It matches the Rfam family "Bacterial small subunit ribosomal RNA". Lineage: Bacteria; Pseudomonadati; Pseudomonadota; Betaproteobacteria; Burkholderiales; Alcaligenaceae. The record is from RNAcentral.